AUUGAACGCUGGCGGCAGGCCUAACACAUGCAAGUCGAGCGGAUGAAGGGAGCUUGCUCCUGGAUUCAGCGGCGGACGGGUGAGUAAUGCCUAGGAAUCUGCCUGGUAGUGGGGGAUAACGUCCGGAAACGGGCGCUAAUACCGCAUACGUCCUGAGGGAGAAAGUGGGGGAUCUUCGGACCUCACGCUAUCAGAUGAGCCUAGGUCGGAUUAGCUAGUUGGUGGGGUAAAGGCCUACCAAGGCGACGAUCCGUAACUGGUCUGAGAGGAUGAUCAGUCACACUGGAACUGAGACACGGUCCAGAAGCCUACGGGAGGCAGCAGUGGGGAAUAUUGGACAAUGGGCGAAAGCCUGAUCCAGCCAUGCCGCGUGUGUGAAGAAGGUCUUCGGAUUGUAAAGCAAUUUAAGUUGGGAGGAAGGGCAGUAAGUUAAUACCUUGCUGUUUUGACGUUACCAACAGAAUAAGCACCGGCUAACUUCGU
RNAcentral lists this ribosomal RNA (483 nucleotides) under uncultured bacterium. RNAcentral's name for it is "partial 16S ribosomal RNA". It matches the Rfam family "Bacterial small subunit ribosomal RNA", at positions 30 to 506 of the family's 1533-position model. The record is from RNAcentral.